This 250-nucleotide ribosomal RNA is filed under the name uncultured bacterium. RNAcentral's name for it is "partial 16S ribosomal RNA". It matches the Rfam family "Bacterial small subunit ribosomal RNA", at positions 524 to 773 of the family's 1533-position model. The record is from RNAcentral.
UACGAAGGGUGCAAGCGUUAAUCGGAAUUACUGGGCGUAAAGCGCGCGUAGGUGGUUGGGUAAGUUGAAUGUGAAAGCCCCGGGCUCAACCUGGGAACUGCAUCCAAAACUGCCCGACUAGAGUACGGUAGAGGGUGGUGGAAUUUCCUGUGUAGCGGUGAAAUGCGUAGAUAUAGGAAGGAACACCAGUGGCGAAGGCGACCACCUGGACUGAUACUGACACUGAGGUGCGAAAGCGUGGGGAGCAAAC